CCUACGGGUGGCUGCAGUAGGGAAUCUUACACAAUGGGCGAAAGCCUGAUGGAGCAACGCCGCGUGUGUGAUGAAGGCUUUCGGGUAGUAAAGCACUGUUGUAUGGGAAGAACAGCUAGAGUAGGGAAUGACUUUAGUUUGACGGUACAAUACCAGAAAGGGACGGCUAAAUACGUGCCAGCAGCCGCGGUAAUACGUAUGUCCCGAGCGUUAUCCGGAUUUAUUGGGCGUAAAGCGAGCGCAGACGGUUAAUUAAGUCUGAUGUGAAAGCCCGGAGCUCAACUCCGGAAAGGCAUUGGAAACUGGUUAACUUGAGUGCAGUAGAGGUAAGUGGAACUACAUGUGUAGCGGUGGAAUGCGUAGAUAUAUGGAGGAACACCGGUGGCGAAAGCGGCUCUCUGGACUGUAACUGACACUGAGGCUCGAAAGCGUGGGUAGCA
Molecule: ribosomal RNA, 440 nt
Filed under: uncultured bacterium
Lineage: Bacteria
Description: bacterial SSU rRNA
Rfam family: Bacterial small subunit ribosomal RNA
Source: RNAcentral